RNAcentral lists this ribosomal RNA (121 nucleotides) under Aegilops tauschii subsp. strangulata. Lineage: Eukaryota; Viridiplantae; Streptophyta; Magnoliopsida; Poales; Poaceae. The record is from RNAcentral.
GGAUGCGAUCAUACCAGCACUAAAGCACCGGAUCCCAUCAGAACUCCGAAGUUAAGCGUGCUUGGGCGAGAGUAGUACUAGGAUGGGGGUGACCUCCUGGGAAGUCCUCGUGUUGCAUUCC